AUAAAGAUGAUGAGGGAGCCAAGGUGCAUGCGGGAAUCUGCAGAGAGCCGAUGGCUGGUGGAAAUCGGCGAUUCCCUGCACCGGAGCACUCCGGAGUUGACGGGCUGAAAAGGAAGUAGGCCCGUACGCUGAAUGGCGUUAUCCUAUGGUUGGACAAACCGCUGAGGUCACUGGAACGGUUUUUCUUUUUCCGUCAUGCGCGAAAAGCCGGGGCAGUGAUGAAUGAGGGUGGCACCACGAGACCUCUCGUCCCUCAC
RNAcentral lists this non-coding RNA (257 nucleotides) under Bacillus thermozeamaize. RNAcentral's name for it is "T-box sequence". It matches the Rfam family "T-box leader". Rfam says of the family: Uncharged tRNA acts as the effector for transcription antitermination of genes in the T-box leader family. T-boxes are found upstream of many aminoacyl-tRNA synthetase genes and some amino acid biosynthetic genes usually in Gram-positive bacteria. Lineage: Bacteria; Bacillati; Bacillota; Bacilli; Caryophanales; Bacillaceae. The record is from RNAcentral.